ACAGCAUCUGCUGUUCUCAAAACUAUCUUCUUUCAAGGGACUGCUCCCCAUCUCCCUGCAAGUUUUACUUAGAACAAAGGGAAUGCUUUAUUCAAAUGGAAGAUCCUAAAGAGGUCACUUCUCAAUCUUCCCUUAAGGUGCCAGUAAAUACUCUCCACGGUAUUCUGCUCCCUGCCUGCCUCCAGAUGAUAUGACAGCAUAGGGAAG
This 207-nucleotide long non-coding RNA is filed under the name Gallus gallus (chicken). The record is from RNAcentral. Lineage: Eukaryota; Metazoa; Chordata; Aves; Galliformes; Phasianidae.